CGGCAACGGCUCAAAUUUGAAAUCUGGCCCCCCUCCGGGGUCCGAGUUGUAAUUUGCAGAGGAUGCUUCGGCGUCGGCCCCGGGUCAAGUCCCCUGGAACGGGGCGUCCCAGAGGGUGAGAGCCCCGUACCCCCCCGGUCGGCACUUCGCCGUGUGAAGCUCCUUCGA
Molecule: ribosomal RNA, 168 nt
Filed under: Sigridea sp.
Lineage: Eukaryota; Fungi; Ascomycota; Arthoniomycetes; Arthoniales; Roccellaceae
Description: partial large subunit ribosomal RNA
Rfam family: Eukaryotic large subunit ribosomal RNA
Source: RNAcentral